Molecule: ribosomal RNA, 305 nt
Filed under: uncultured Pseudomonadota bacterium
Lineage: Bacteria; Pseudomonadati; Pseudomonadota
Description: bacterial SSU rRNA
Rfam family: Bacterial small subunit ribosomal RNA
Source: RNAcentral
AACGAACGCUGGCGGCAGGCCUAACACAUGCAAGUCGAACGAGAAGCCACCUUCGGGUGGUGGACAGUGGCAGACGGGUGAGUAACGCGUGGGAACGUGCCUUUCGGUUCGGAAUAACCCAGGGAAACUUGGGCUAAUACCGGAUACGCCCGAAAGGGGAAAGAUUUAUCGCUAUAGGAUGGGCCCGCGUAGGAUUAGCUAGUUGGUGAGGUAAUGGCUCACCAAGGCGACGAUCCUUAGCUGGUCUGAGAGGAUGAUCAGCCACACUGGGACUGAGACACGGCCCAGACUCCUACGGGAGGCUG